Molecule: ribosomal RNA, 253 nt
Filed under: uncultured bacterium
Lineage: Bacteria
Description: partial 16S ribosomal RNA
Rfam family: Bacterial small subunit ribosomal RNA
Source: RNAcentral
UACGUAGGGGGCAAGCGUUGUCCGGAAUCAUUGGGCGUAAAGCGCGCGUAGGCGGCCCUGUAAGUCCGCUGUGAAAGUCGAAGGCUCAACCUUCGAAAGCCGGUGGAUACUGUGGGGCUAGAGUCCGGAAGAGGCGAGUGGAAUUCCUGGUGUAGCGGUGGAAUGCGCAGAUAUCAGGAGGAACACCAAUAGCGAAGGCAGCUCGCUGGGACGGUACUGACGCUAAGGCGCGAAAGCGUGGGGAGCGAACAGG